RNAcentral lists this transfer RNA (70 nucleotides) under Pachydactylus oculatus. RNAcentral's name for it is "tRNA-Tyr". The record is from RNAcentral. Lineage: Eukaryota; Metazoa; Chordata; Lepidosauria; Squamata; Gekkonidae.
CUUGAUAGCAAGGGCUUCCACCCUAUCUGUGGAUCUACAGUCCACCGCCUUGCCGUUCGGCCAUACUACC